Molecule: ribosomal RNA, 187 nt
Filed under: uncultured bacterium
Lineage: Bacteria
Description: partial 16S ribosomal RNA
Rfam family: Bacterial small subunit ribosomal RNA
Source: RNAcentral
GACUACAUGAAGCUGGAAUCGCUAGUAAUCGCGGAUCAGAAUGCCGCGGUGAAUACGUUCCCGGGUCUUGUACACACCGCCCGUCACACCAUGGGAGUCGGAAAUGCCCGAAGUCUGUGACCCAACCGAAAGGAGGGAGCAGCCGAAGGCAGGUCGGAUGACUGGGGUGAAGUCGUAACAAGGUACC